UGGGGAAUUUUGGACAAUGGGCGAAAGCCUGAUCCAGCAAUGCCGCGUGUGUGAAGAAGGCCUUCGGGUUGUAAAGCACUUUUGUCCGGAAAGAAAUCCUUGGCUCUAAUACAGUCGGGGGAUGACGGUACCGGAAGAAUAAGCACCGGCUAACUACGUGCCAGCAGCCGCGGUAAUACGUAGGGUGCAAGCGUUAAUCGGAAUUACUGGGCGUAAAGCGUGCGCAGGCGGUUUGCUAAGACCGAUGUGAAAUCCCCGGGCUCAACCUGGGAACUGCAUUGGUGACUGGCAGGCUAGAGUAUGGCAGAGGGGGGUAGAAUUCCACGUGUAGCAGUGAAAUGCGUAGAGAUGUGGAGGAAUACCGAUGGCGAAGGCAGCCCCCUGGGCCAAUACUGACGCUCAUGCACGAAAGCGUGGGGGAGCAAACAGGAUUAGAUACCCUGGUAGUCCACGCCCUAAACGAUGUCAACUAGUUGUUGGGGAUUCAUUUCCUUAGUAACGUAGCUAACGCGUGAAGUUGACCGCCUGGGGAGUACGGUCGCAAGAUUAAAACUUAAUGAAUUGACGGGGUCAUGCUGUUUCC
RNAcentral lists this ribosomal RNA (583 nucleotides) under uncultured bacterium. Its description in RNAcentral is "partial 16S ribosomal RNA". It matches the Rfam family "Bacterial small subunit ribosomal RNA", at positions 355 to 931 of the family's 1533-position model. The record is from RNAcentral.